UGGGAUGUUCCUCCAUGUCUUCAAAAUAAUCAACCCCCCAAACGACUGCCUUUUCCUGAGUCACUUUCUGCUAUGUUACACAAGGUUAUUCUUUUUAUAGCACUUAAAACCUGUUGAAGUUAUACAUUGUCUAUUUACUUAUCUUCUGCCCUUAUCACUCAACAUACUCCAACAAGCAGGUCCUUGCUUGAAUCUGUGAAUUCUGGAAUAAAUGAGAUAAUUUUUGCCCUCAAGAUGCUCACAGGCUAAAGAAAAUAGAGAAGCCAAAUUAUAGGAUCAUAGAAAACUGGAAUAAGUUCCUUUGCUCUUAUUAUAAAAUCAGAGAGCUUUGAGAGGACUAGUUUGUUCAUUUUCCACACCCUCCAUGUUUCUUUCUUUCUUUUUCUGUUUUUUUUUUUUUUUUUUGGCCAUGUGGUAUGUGGGAUCUUAGUUCUCCAACCAAGGAUGGAACCCCCACCCUUGCAGUGGAAAUUCAGAGGCUAGCUACUGGAUGACCAGCAACAUCCCCUUCAUGUUUCUUAAACAGAGAAACCUAGACUUACCCAGAGAGGAUUCACCCGAGUUUGCACAGCAUUAGAGACACACCCUGGUUCUGAACCUAGGCCACCCAACUUCUCAUAGCGUGAGUUAAAGGAAGGCUUCCCAAAGCAGCUCUGGACUCUCUUCUACUUCCUGUACUUGGCAUCACUAUUAUAGGAACCACCUGCAGAAGGAAAACAAAUUACCCAGAGGAGCCAUUUGAGGAGCAAAAGGAAAUUCUCAAAUAUAUAAGGACCCUACCCUUUAAUCAGACACAAUGUCUGAAUCUUCACCAUUAGUAUCUCCUCUCUUUGGAGCAAGUCUUUUUCUACUUGGACUCCUCUGAAGAAGCACAGAAGCACCAGGAAGAAUGACCCUCUGGGCCCUCAGUGUGGGCAAAGCUGGCCAAACCUCCUAGUCCUCUGAGGGAACUUCUGGGGAGAGGAAGACAGACGGUGCAGUUGGGGUUUAGAGGAGGCAUGGGAAGAGACGUUCCAAGGCAUCAAGCAGAACUUUCUUACCUGGCCCCACCCGUGUAUCUUGUCUCAUCCCUUGAAACCCACAGAGGACCCUCCAGCUACAAGAAAUCACUUGCAGACAUGGUGACAAGCGUUUCCAGGCAUGCUUUCCAGUCCGCACAGCAGCCUUAUGAGAAGGUUGCUGUCAGCAUCCCGUUUAUACCUGUAAAGAAACCAAGGCACAGGAAACUUUGCCUCGAGCUGUCCCUCCCCCAAUGACAGAACUGCAUGUCCAUCAAGAUGCUCAGAAUAGGAAUCACUCGGCCUCAGUGUAAGGAUACUCACAGAGAUAUCCCAGACGUGGAAUGCUCAACUUCAGAUGUACAGCAGUUUAACACAUGCAUUUGCCUCCUCCUCUGAGAUCCUCCCAGCAUCGUUCACAGGCCAGGCAGACACUCCUGGCUCUAUCCUCAAGAAAGGUCAAGUCUCAAAAGGAUUAUAUACCAGGCCCUUUCUAUAUCUCCAUUCUUCUCCUCAUCUUUCACAGCUGGGGAAACUGAGGCUCAGAUGAGAUAAGACUCUUGCCUCCAACUUCAGGCCCAAAUUGCUUUCCCCUCAAGGUCUCCAAUUUCUGAAUUUAUGCUCCGUAAUUUGGCCCUGACUGAAACCAAGGCGCUCAAUCAAGCAUUCAUUCAACAGUUACUCAGCACUUCCACCCUGCAACCAGAUAACUACCAGCCUCGAGCCAGUUGUCUGUGGUCUGGAGCCAUCACCUUGCCUGAACUGUGCUGAGCCUCAAACCCAGCUGGACAAUCCUGCCGCCAAACCCGGUGGAGCUGUCCUUGGUGCUGAAGAUACGUCUGCAGGCGCCUGCCUCUAAGGCCACCUCUGGACUUUGGGAGGGACUGAGGCUGGAUUAUUGGAAGUACUGAGUUCCUGCCAUGCUCCAUGCUGGCCUGGCACAUCUAGAGACUUGCCUCUCUUCUUGUCCAAAUACUUUUGAUUCAGUGUCUUGUGGACUAAGUGAAGCUGAGGCAGCUUAUGCCCUGGUUCAGUAAUAUUUGCUAGACUGUGCGAGAAAAACAAACCCUUGGGUGUGUCAAGGGGAAGAUACUAUGUUGAAGGGGGUUCUGGAAGCUAUGGCAACUAGAAACUGUAGCAAGACCCCAGUAAGGACAGGAGAACAUUUCCUAUCAUUGUCCUCAGAUCCUGGAGGGGCUGUCCUGGGAAACCGGCUUGGGAUAUUUCCUCCCACAGUCAGAAGGUUGAGGUUUCAGAAAGAGAGAUUUCAACUCUACUUAAGAACCCCUUAUUAGGGUCAGAGUCCCUUCAGUGAAGGAUCAUUUUGCCUCAAGGAGAAAGGCAUUUCCAGGCAAUGAGAAUGAUAAAAUAUUCCAUUUUUGGGACCAGCACUUAGGCACAAUGGCUGCAAUUUACUAAACACCUAUUAUGUGCCUAUUAUUGGAGAAGGAAAUGGCAAUCCACUCCAGUACUCUGGGGAAAAUUCCAUGGAUGGAGGAGCCUGGUGGGCUACAGCCCGUGGGGUCACAAAAAGUCAGACAGGACUGAGCAACUUCAUUUUCACUUUUUUUUUUUUUCAUGUUAUUAUGUGCCUGGCAUGACCUAUGGGCAUGGAUAUCAUUAGCCUCAUGUUAUAGAGGAAGAAACUGAGGCACAGAGAGAGGAAAUGACUUCUUCAAGGUCAUGUGGCUAGCAAGUAAUGAGCUGAAAUCACCCCCAUGUAUGUGAUUCCAAACUGCUGUGCUACAAAGCCUCCCUGGAUGCAUCCAGAAGGUAUGGAAUUAUUCUCUCACCCACAUCCCUCCAUAGCCUUCUCCCAGCUACCUCCCCACCUCCUCCCCAUGGGUUAAGUUUUAAGGAAGAAAUAAAUUAAAAAUGGAUGAGAUGCCCAGCACAGGGUAUGGGGCCUGAUCCGAUUAACACUGAUGUUUCUUUCAUGAGGGAUGGGUCAGUAAUUCUCACCUACAGCAACCCAGGGUGGUGGAGGAAGCUGUCUCUAAGUCACCAAGCCACCUGCCUCCCAGCUCUGUGGGUUCUCUGACCCGCCCUGCCCCACCAUCUGCCGCCCCCUUCCCCUCCCCCUGUACUGCCCGUGGUCCAGUCAUGGCUCUCAGAAGCCCCACCAAGCUCCGGCUGCAUCUCCAAGCCUGCCUGGGGCAGCAGAACUAGCCCAGGCUUUGGGUUUAAGUAGAAUCUAGAUCCUGGCUCUGCCUCUUACUAUGAGACUGUAGAGAAGCCACCUAGAUUUAGCUUUCCCUCCAGUAAAAUGGGGAAGAGGCCUGCCUCGCAGACCCACUGUGAGGUGUGAGUUAAUGUAUCUGGAGCUCAGAACAUAGUUUAUCUUCUCUCACUGAACACUCCAUCGAUGGCUGUUACUGCUGCUGCUGCUGCUGCUGCUGCUGCUACCAUUAUAUUGAUGAAUGGAAGCAUUUCUUGUCCUGAGCACUUGAUGACCUGAAAGAGAAAUGGAUAAAAAUCAAGGGGGUGGGAAUUGAGGCUCCAUUCAUGGAAAAGCAGGGCACUCCUUAGGGGAGUCUCAAAUUUUUCCCAACCAGCCAUGUUCAUGGAGCAAAGAACAAGCAACAGUCAGAGUGAUCAGGGCUCUGGUUAUUGGGGGUUUGCCCACCUAACUCUGCAUCCAGCUGAGAGGCAGAUGGCAGUCCCUCAGAUGGAGGCCAAAGGCAUCUUGGUCAUUGGAAAAGCUGAUCCCAGAGGAAGGAAGCGUCCUCUGUCUAACAGCUGGGAAAUUUCCUAUGGCGAACCCCAGGGGUUGGUAGACACACUGCCCAGACACAAGGAAACUGGACCUGCCAGCCCCAUUGACUGCUGAGGGUUGGUGCCCACCUGGGCUUCCUAUGGGCAGCCUGGCUCCCACCACCUCAUGCUGAGUCCUUGGCCUGGGCACUUCCCCUGUCUGAGCCCAGUUUGAUGCUUUGUUAAACAAAGGCAAUAGUAGAACCUUCCACAGAGAGUGGUGGUGAGGGUUAAAGCGUACACAUGAGGCAAACGGGUGGCAGACCAGGGCUAGGACCCUUCGCUGGAUCUGAGCCCUGGUGACCCAGGGAGGGAUCCAGGCACUGCCCCCACCUUCCAACCAUGGAGCACACCUCAUCAGCAACUCUGAGCCUCUCGCCUUGCGUGCCAGAUGCUGCACGUGGCUAGGAGGAGGAGAAGGAGGGGAAGAGGCCGGGAAGCCUGGGGCCCAGGGGAGCACCCUGCACGCCAGACUCCCUCACGCAAGGGGUUUGGGUUUGACACGCGAGAGGAAGACAUCCACCAGGCCUCCCCCGCUUCCCUUCCCCCUAAGCGCAUCCAGGGAGGGUUAGCAACCAGCCCCUGCCCCAAACCCAGCCUCCGCUCGCCAUGGCCCUUCAGUCCAUCUGUCCAUCUGCCUUCUCAACGGGCAGACUGGCCACCUGCCUCCCCCUUGAUCUGCUUCUUGGACUGUCACUGUGCCCGUCUGUCUGCCUAUGAUGCUGUCCGUCUGCCUGUCAGUCAUCAGGCUUCUUGUGGGUCAGGUCAGAUUGGCUGUCCUUCUGUCUGUCAGUCUGUCCAUCGGUCUUCCUCUCUGUUUCACCAUCAGGUCUAUCUGUCUGUCCUCCCAGUGGUCAGACGGCCUCCCAUCUCUCUCCUCCACCUAUUGGUCUGUCUGUUCCUUAACGGUCUUUUUGGUCAGGCCAGCAGCCCAUCUGUCUUUCAGCGCCUGUACUUUCCCCCUAUCCACCUGCCAAGGGGUCACUCUUGCCUUCCUCUCUGCCUGCCCUUCCGUCAACCUUGUUCUUCCCAACCCUCACUCCUCUCCAUGUGUGGAGACGGCUUCGCUCAUCACCAAAACCCACCUCUGUCUGCCAUGGACCAGGGCUGGCUGGCCCCCGGUGAAGCAGAGCAGACAGGCCAGCCAGCCCAGGGCCCCUCCACCCCAGCCCUCCA
Molecule: long non-coding RNA, 4928 nt
Organism: Bubalus bubalis (water buffalo)
Lineage: Eukaryota; Metazoa; Chordata; Mammalia; Artiodactyla; Bovidae
Exons: 4
Source: RefSeq, a predicted model, not a curated record